GGGAAAGCACCACGAUCUACACCUGGACGAAGGCGGAGGAACCAUCCGCGGCCGCACGGCCGCAGGGCGCACGCCCUAGGGGUCAAGCCGGGCAACCGGCCGAGCAGCCUCUCGCUCGAACCCGACAGCUAACUUCGCACGCGCGUAGAGAGGAAAG
Molecule: small RNA, 157 nt
Filed under: Tsukamurella pulmonis
Lineage: Bacteria; Bacillati; Actinomycetota; Actinomycetes; Mycobacteriales; Tsukamurellaceae
Description: c-di-AMP sequence
Rfam family: c-di-AMP riboswitch aptamer (ydaO/yuaA leader)
About the family: This family represents a conserved RNA structure found upstream of the ydaO and yuaA genes in Bacillus subtilis and related genes in other bacteria. The ydaO/yuaA element is thought to act as a genetic "off" switch for the ydaO and yuaA genes in its native state.
Source: RNAcentral